Molecule: non-coding RNA, 136 nt
Organism: Hordeum vulgare subsp. vulgare (domesticated barley)
Lineage: Eukaryota; Viridiplantae; Streptophyta; Magnoliopsida; Poales; Poaceae
Source: Rfam
UUAGUACUCCCUCCGUUUCAAAAUUCUUGUCUUAGUUUUGUUUAGAAAUGGAUGUAUCUAAAUACUAAAACAUGACUAGGUACAUUCAUAUCUAGACACAUCUAUGACAAAAACUUUGGGACGAAGAAAGUACCAA